Molecule: long non-coding RNA, 1821 nt
Filed under: Homo sapiens (human)
Lineage: Eukaryota; Metazoa; Chordata; Mammalia; Primates; Hominidae
Description: non-protein coding lnc-SYF2-3:2
Source: RNAcentral
UCCCGGUCCCGUAGCAGGUCGCGCUCUCGGGGAAGGUCGUACUGCGGAAGGGCGUACGCGAUCGCGCGGGGACAGCGCUACUACGGCUUUGGUCGCACAGUGUACCCGGAGGAGCACAGCAGAUGGAGGGACAGAUCCAGGACGAGGUCGCGGAGCAGAACCCCCUUUCGCUUAAGUGAAAAAGAUCGAAUGGAGCUGUUAGAAAUAGCAAAAACCAAUGCAGCGAAAGCUCUAGGAACAACCAACAUUGACUUGCCAGCUAGUCUCAGAACUGUUCCUUCAGCCAAAGAAACAAGCCGUGGAAUAGGUGUAUCAAGUAAUGGUGCAAAGCCUGAAGUAAGUAUUCUAGGUUUGUCGGAACAAAACUUUCAGAAAGCCAACUGUCAAAUCUGAUUAGCCACUUAUAUCUUAGACUAUACUUUUUGGGAAGUCUAGAGAUGUAUAUAAUGUGCUAAAUUCAAAGUAGCAAAUCUGAAGAUAGGCAAUGUCAAACCCAUGAAAAUGGGAGAUUAAUGAGCUUUAUUUGGCCGUGCAUGGUGCCUCAUGCCUGUAAUGAGGCAGAUGGCUUGAGUCCAGGAGUUCAAGACUAGCCUGGGCAAUGUGGCAAAACCGCGUGUUUACAAAAAAUACAAAAAUUAGCCAGGCAUGGUGGUGCAUGCCUGUAGUCCCAGCUGUUUGGGAGGCUGAGGCAGGAGGAUCUUUGAGCCUAGGAUGCUAAGGUUGCAGUGAGCCAAGAUGGCACCAUUGCACUCUAGCCUGGGCAGCAGAGCGAGACCCUGUCUCAAAAAAUACAUUUAUUUUUUUCAUUUUCAGUUAACAGUGUACUCUUAUAACACCGUUAUUAGCUGGUACUUUGGUGAUUUCUAUUACUAGUUUUUCUAAGCUAUUUACAGAGUGUUUGUAGCUUUCAUUUGCAGCAUUAUGUUCCCACAAAUUCUGUACUCAGCAUAUACAGUAUAGUUUAUCUGCUCUAUUUCUGUCUUAUAGAAAUCAUGAAUGUGGUCUGCAGACAUUGAUGAAGAAAAUCUGUUGGUAAUUGAUACAUGGGCUAAAGCAUCAGAGGUUUAAUUUGAAGUUUAUGUUCACACACUGAAAACUUAGUUUUUUUGUUGGUAGAUCCAUGUGCAUGCUAGAAUUUGGGACAGGCACUAUUUGCAUAAAGUAUUAAAGUCAAUUUUUAAACUAAGCAAAGGUACACGUUGUAACGGUGGGGCAUCUGUGAAAAAGAUGUCCCUUUCAUAAUAUAUGCAAUAUAUUCCAGAUGUUUUGAGAGAUUACAGAAGAGGAGGCCUGCUUCACUUGCAGAUAACUGUCGGAAAAGGUAACAGAAGAUGGAACUCGAAAUCCCAAUGAAAAACCUACCCAGCAAAGAAGCAUAGCUUUUAGCUCUAAUAAUUCUGUAGCAAAGCCAAUACAAAAAUCAGCUAAAGCUGCCACAGAAGAGGCAUCUUCAAGAUCACCAAAAAUAGAUCAGAAAAAAAGUCCAUAUGGACUGUGGAUACCUAUCUAAAAGAAGAAAACUGAUGGCUAAGUUUGCAUGAAAACUGCACUUUAUUGCAAGUUAGUGUUUCUAGCAUUAUCCCAUCCCUUUGAGCCAUUCAGGGGUACUUGUGCAUUUAAAAACCAACACAAAAAGAUGUAAAUACUUAACACUCAAAUAUUAACAUUUUAGGUUUCUCUUGCAGAUAUGAGAGAUAGCACAGAUGGACCAAAGGUUAUGCACAGGUGGGAGUCUUUUGUAUAUAGUUGUAAAUAUUGUCUUGGUUAUGUAAAAAUGAAAUUUUUUAGACACAGUAAUUGAACUGUAUUCCUGUUUUGUAU